This is a long non-coding RNA of Xenia sp. Carnegie-2017, 517 nucleotides long. RefSeq lists it as uncharacterized. The transcript has 4 exons. The record is from RefSeq and is a predicted model, not a curated record. Lineage: Eukaryota; Metazoa; Cnidaria; Anthozoa; Malacalcyonacea; Xeniidae.
AACUUAAUAAUUCCAUCGAGGGAUGUCUACAUUAUGAUAAAUACUGCUGUCAAAUACACAGUCAAAAGAUUUCGACAAAACUCUAUGAUAGAUGUCGAAAUGCCGUCAACACAAUUUGAGUUUGUUCUAAGCAAUACAACUGUUACAGUUCUUCAUGAACCAUCAUCUAAUUUUAUUGGGGUCGUGUUCUUGGUUAUACACAAGUUACCCUCGUUGAUAAAAACAUGAAAGAUCAAAUAUCUACAAGACAACCAACAGCUUAUAUUUAUGUUGAUGAACCUCAUCUAGCGUGUUCGUGUGACGUCACUGAGCGCAAGUUGUGACGUUUGCAAGGCAAAACUUUUGGCGCCAAAUUUUGUUUUCAAACACGAAACGACGUUAAAAUUUCAAAACUUGGGCGAAGAAAUUGCGUUAGAAAAGGAUUUGGAAAAAUUCUUAUUGAUUUCAUUGAAUGAAAGAGUUAAAGCACAUUUACCUGUGACGUUUUACACGAGUUGUACAUGUUUAAGUUUUGAUU